Molecule: ribosomal RNA, 312 nt
Filed under: Clostridioides difficile
Lineage: Bacteria; Bacillati; Bacillota; Clostridia; Peptostreptococcales; Peptostreptococcaceae
Description: partial 23S ribosomal RNA
Rfam family: Bacterial large subunit ribosomal RNA
Source: RNAcentral
AGAUUUCCGAAUGAGGAAACUCACUUAGAGUAAUGUCUAAGUAUCAUUAAGUGAAUACAUAGCUUAAUGAGGGGAACUCAGGGAACUGAAACAUCUAAGUACCUGAAGGAAGAGAAAGAAAUUCGAUUCCGUAAGUAGCGGCGAGCGAACGCGGAUUAGCCCAAACCAAUAAAGUUUUCUUUAUUGGGGUUGCGGACAUAUCAUAACGAAGAGGUAUCGUAAUUGAAGAGGUUUGGAAAGACUCACCACAGAAGGUAAUAGUCCUGUAUGUUAAACGAGAAGACUUCAGAUAUGAUCCAGAGUACCACGGGA